GAUCCCCUCCCCUCCCCUCUCUGCGAUCCCCUCGCCUUCCCGCUCCUAUCCUCUCUCGCAGAAAAAACAUCCCAUCCCUAAAAUAACGCCGUCCGCGCUCAUCGCUCUCCAUCGCGUCGCCAUUGUCCCCUUCGUCAGCCUCCCCCUCGCCAUCCAUCCGCCCCCCAGGUCCCCUCAACCCUAACCGCGCUGCCUCAACCGGUCGCCGCCGCCGCCUCACCCUGUGCCCUCGCCAGAUCGAUUCCGCGAUGCCCUGCCUCCUUGCCUUGCUCGCCUUGGAGCAUCUCGCGCUGGAUCCCGCAGGAAAUUUUGUGGAAUGCUAAUGACCACCGCAAUCAGCAAGGAGGCAAUCGCCCAGUGCUUCUUUGUGGAUUCCUUCCUUUAAUCUGAACAAAAAGGACUCAGAGCUGCUAUGUUGAGUUCAUCAGAGAUCAGUGCAGUACAAUCCAACUUUUGAUUAUUGAUACGUAGUCUUCAGUUUUCAACUGAUCAAUACAAGAACCUUAAUUCUAAUAAUCGCCAUUGAUCUCAGCUAAACACCCCUUAUAUAAUUGUUUAGCGGCUAUUUAUCUAGAAUGUAAGAAGAAAAAAAAGGGGGCCUUGUUUAAUGGCACUAACUGCACAUUGGUAAUAUAUCAUACUAUUAGGUAAAUAUUUACUGAUGUACUUUACACUCCUAUUAUGCAAAUGCUAAGUUACAAUAUGUACUUUACACUCCUAUUAUGCAAACGCUCUAGGCAUAUAUCUUUUUUGAACACAUAUAUUUUUCACAAGAGGUAGUAGUUAGCAGGUGAUAAACUGAUAACAAGAUAGCAGCAAGGCAUGGAUUGAGCGAUUAAGCUUCAUUUAAGACUGUACAGCACCUUCGCCACACACAACCGUCGUUCAAGCAAGCGUCGUCAUCGUCUUAGAGCGAGCAAGUGAACGGUGGGUUCAGGGUCAUCGCUCAGUGGGUUCAGGGUCAGUGCCGAGACGGCUCGUGCUGACCAACGGUGUCGCCGCUGCCGUCAUCAUCACCAUCACCGACCUCUUCUCUCAGAGACAUAAGAAAUGUGUUUAUAAAUAUAGCGCCGAGGCGGCUCAUGCUAACCAACGGCGUCGCCGCCGCUGCCAUCAUCACCGUGACUGACCUCUCCUCUCAGGUGAUGUGAGAGCGUUUUGAUUCGUAGAGUAUCUUCAUUGCUCUGCCAGAAGUUAUACUUCUGCUCAACAAAAGAGUUUGGUAAGAUUUGAACGGUUGGUUGUACAGAACAUGCCAGUUGAUUGACGGGAUGUACCCAGUUUGGAGCCCAUAUAACUUGUGUAUUUCUUAUUUGCAAUUAAUCCCAACAUUUAAAGGUGGUGUUGAAAUGGUCAUGUUUGGCGUUUGAGGUUAUAAAUUAGUGGCGUUGUAUUAUGCUUUCAUGCUGCUAUUGACAAAUCAAAUUGAUGUAUGUUAUUUCAAAACUUUGAAUAUAAAAUCGCAUUGUAAAUUGGUUUCAA
This is a non-coding RNA of Oryza sativa Japonica Group (Japanese rice), 1482 nucleotides long. NCBI's taxonomy places the organism in Eukaryota, Viridiplantae, Streptophyta, Magnoliopsida, Poales, Poaceae. The record is from RefSeq and is a predicted model, not a curated record.